Molecule: ribosomal RNA, 450 nt
Filed under: uncultured bacterium
Lineage: Bacteria
Description: partial 16S ribosomal RNA
Rfam family: Bacterial small subunit ribosomal RNA
Source: RNAcentral
GUGGGGAAUAUUGGACAAUGGGCGCAAGCCUGAUCCAGCCAUGCCGCGUGUGUGAAGAAGGCCUUCGGGUUGUAAAGCACUUUUGUUGGGGAAGAAAACCUGUUGGUUAAUACCCGAUGGGAAUGACGGUACCCAAAGAAUAAGCACCGGCUAACUUCGUGCCAGCAGCCGCGGUAAUACGAAGGGUGCAAGCGUUACUCGGAAUUACUGGGCGUAAAGCGUGCGUAGGUGGUGGUUUAAGUCCGUUGUGAAAGCCCUGGGCUCAACCUGGGAAUUGCAGUGGAUACUGGAUCACUAGAGUGUGGUAGAGGGAUGCGGAAUUUCUGGUGUAGCAGUGAAAUGCGUAGAGAUCAGAAGGAACAUCCGUGGCGAAGGCGGCAUCCUGGGCCAACACUGACACUGAGGCACGAAAGCGUGGGGAGCAAACAGGAUUAGAUACCCCUGUAGUCC